UGGGGAAUUUUGGACAAUGGGCGCAAGCCUGAUCCAGCAAUGCCGCGUGUGUGAAGAAGGCCUUCGGGUUGUAAAGCACUUUUGUCCGGAAAGAAAUCCGUCUGGCUAAUACCCGGACGGGAUGACGGUACCGGAAGAAUAAGCACCGGCUAACUACGUGCCAGCAGCCGCGGUAAUACGUAGGGUGCGAGCGUUAUCCGGAUUUACUGGGCGUAAAGCGUGCGCAGGCGGUUUUGUAAGACAGAGGUGAAAUCCCCGGGCUCAACCUGGGAACUGCCUUUGUGACUGCAAGGCUGGAGUGCGGCAGAGGGGGAUGGAAUUCCGCGUGUAGCAGUGAAAUGCGUAGAUAUGCGGAGGAACACCGAUGGCGAAGGCAAUCCCCUGGGCCUGCACUGACGCUCAUGCACGAAAGCGUGGGGAGCAAACA
RNAcentral lists this ribosomal RNA (427 nucleotides) under uncultured bacterium. Its description in RNAcentral is "bacterial SSU rRNA". It matches the Rfam family "Bacterial small subunit ribosomal RNA", at positions 355 to 774 of the family's 1533-position model. The record is from RNAcentral.